AUGCCUGGAUCUUUGAAUGAUAUCAAUGUUCUCAACCGGUCACCACUGAUGAAUAAGAUUGCAAACGGUGAGUUGCCACCUGUGCAGUUUGUAGCAAAUGGCCAUACAUACAACUAUGGCUAUUAUCUAGCGGAUGGCAUCUAUCCAAAGUGGCAAAACCUUCGUGAAGCCGUUGAAAAAACCGAAGGUAAGAAAAAUCUUGAUUUCCACAAUGCUCAGGCGGCGGCUAGAAAAGAUGUGGAGAGAGUAUUUGGGAUUUUGCAAGCCCAAUUUGCUAUUGUGAGAGGACCGGCAAGAUUUUGGGAUCAACAAAUGUUUUGGUACAUCAUGCACGCUUGUGUGAUCAUGCACAACAUGAUCAUCGAGAAUGAGCUUGGCCAAGAGUUGUACUGA
This 393-nucleotide ribosomal RNA is filed under the name Triticum aestivum (bread wheat). RNAcentral's name for it is "partial small subunit ribosomal RNA". Lineage: Eukaryota; Viridiplantae; Streptophyta; Magnoliopsida; Poales; Poaceae. The record is from RNAcentral.